Molecule: ribosomal RNA, 495 nt
Filed under: uncultured bacterium
Lineage: Bacteria
Description: partial 16S ribosomal RNA
Rfam family: Bacterial small subunit ribosomal RNA
Source: RNAcentral
GAUGAACGCUGGCGGCGUGCCUAAUACAUGCAAGUCGAGCGAACAGACGAGGAGCUUGCUCCAUGACGUUAGCGGCGGACGGGUGAGUAACACGUGGGUAACCUACCUAUAAGACUGGGAUAACUUCGGGAAACCGGAGCUAAUACCGGAUAAUAUUUCGAACCGCAUGGUUCGAUAGUGAAAGAUGGCUUUGCUAUCACUUAUAGAUGGACCUGCGCCGUAUUAGCUAGUUGGUAAGGUAACGGCUUACCAAGGCAACGAGACGUAGCCGACCUGAGAGGGGGAUCGGCCACACUGAACUGAGACACGGUCCAGACUCCUACGGGAGGCAGCAGUAGGGAAUCUUCCGCAAUGGGCGAAAGCCUGACGGAGCAACGCCGCGUGAGUGAUGAAGGUCUUCGGAUCGUAAAGCUCUGUUAUUAGGGAAGAACAAACGUGUAAGUAACUGUGCACGUCUUGACGGUACCUAAUCAGAAAGCCACGGCUAACUACGUG